AAGUCGUAACAAGGUUUCCGUAGGUGAACCUGCGGAAGGAUCAUUACAGAGAACUUGCCCUUCGGGGUAGAUCUCCCACCCUUUGUUUACAUUACCUUUGUUGCUUUGGCAGGCCCGUCCCUCGGGACCGCCGGCUUCGGCUGGCCCGCGCCUGCCAGAGGACCCUAAAACUCUUGUUUAAAUGUCAUCUGAGUACUUAUAAUAAGUUAAAA
Molecule: unclassified non-coding RNA, 212 nt
Filed under: plant metagenome
Description: partial contains small subunit ribosomal RNA and internal transcribed spacer 1
Rfam family: Eukaryotic small subunit ribosomal RNA (bases 1-46)
Source: RNAcentral